Long non-coding RNA from Hydra vulgaris (swiftwater hydra), 360 nucleotides. RefSeq lists it as uncharacterized. NCBI's taxonomy places the organism in Eukaryota, Metazoa, Cnidaria, Hydrozoa, Anthoathecata, Hydridae. The record is from RefSeq and is a predicted model, not a curated record.
GUUGUUUUCAUCAUUUAAUAAUGAAAAGUCUGAGUUGAAAAAGGUUUAGUUCAUUUUUUCAGAUGUAAUUAAAAUGAUUGUUAGAACUUGGUAUAUUUCCACUCUGUAGAUAAAUUAUAGAGUCACUCAAACUAGAUCUAAGGCCAGGAUUUAUAUAGUUGCAUUUUGUCAUCUAAUCAAAUGAAAAUCAAUAAUUUCAAAAAAUGUAAGGAAGAUUUACCUGAAAAAAGUAAUAAAGAUACAAUUUCAGGAGGCUUAUCACAAGCAUUUGGUUUUGAGAAGUGUACUGAGUUAGAAGAACAAUAUAAUCAAGCAUUAAAUUUCAGCAAUGAAGAUAUUUUAAUACCAGAUGAAACAUUU